This 411-nucleotide ribosomal RNA is filed under the name Penaeus aztecus (brown shrimp). RNAcentral describes it as "partial 16S ribosomal RNA". It matches the Rfam family "Bacterial large subunit ribosomal RNA", at positions 1983 to 2594 of the family's 2925-position model. The record is from RNAcentral. Lineage: Eukaryota; Metazoa; Arthropoda; Malacostraca; Decapoda; Penaeidae.
GAGGCUUGUAUGAAUGGUUGGACAAAAAGCAAGCUGUCUCAAUUAUAAUAAUUGAAAUUAACUUUUAAGUGAAAAGGCUUAAAUAAAUUAAGGGGACGAUAAGACCCUAUAAAGCUUGACAAUAAGUCAUUUAUAUUAUAAAUUAUUAGUAUAACUUGAUAUUAAGUGGUGUUUGUUGCGUUGGGGCGACGAGAAUAUAAAAGGUAACUGUUCUUAUAACAUUUAAUAACAGAAAUAUCUGGAAAUUUAAUGAUCCUUUUUUAAAGAUCAUAAGAUUAAGUUACUUUAGGGAUAACAGCGUAAUCCUCCUUGAGAGUCCAUAUCGACAGGAGGGGUUGCGACCUCGAUGUUGAAUUAAGGUAUCCUUACGAUGCAGCAGUUGUAAAGGAAGGUCUGUUCGACCUUUAAAUC